This 469-nucleotide ribosomal RNA is filed under the name uncultured bacterium. Its description in RNAcentral is "bacterial SSU rRNA". It matches the Rfam family "Bacterial small subunit ribosomal RNA", at positions 28 to 496 of the family's 1533-position model. The record is from RNAcentral.
GAUGAACGCUAGCGGCAGGCUUAACACAUGCAAGUCGAGGGGUAGAAGGAGCUUGCUCCUUUGAGACCGGCGCACGGGUGCGUAACGCGUAUGCAAUCUACCUUUUGCAGAGGAUAGCCCAGAGAAAUUUGGAUUAAUACCUCAUAGUAUGUGAGGAUGGCAUCAUUUUCACAUUAAAGUCACAACGGCAAAAGAUGAGCAUGCGUCCCAUUAGCUAGUUGGUAAGGUAACGGCUUACCAAGGCUACGAUGGGUAGGGGUCCUGAGAGGGAGAUCCCCCACACUGGUACUGAGACACGGACCAGACUCCUACGGGAGGCAGCAGUGAGGAAUAUUGGACAAGUGGGCGCAAGCCUGAUCCAGCCAUGCCGCGUGCAGGAUGACGGUCCUAUGGAUUGUAAACUGCUUUUUGACAGGAAGAAACACUACUUCGUGAAGUAGCUUGACGGUACUGUAAGAAUAAGGAUCGG